Molecule: long non-coding RNA, 1474 nt
Filed under: Homarus americanus (American lobster)
Lineage: Eukaryota; Metazoa; Arthropoda; Malacostraca; Decapoda; Nephropidae
Description: uncharacterized LOC121855150, transcript variant X2
Source: RNAcentral
UCUGCUGCCUCCCUGUAUACUGACUACCAUUUCUGUGAGAAUUUGCUCCUGUAACUGUCGCUGCUGUGGAAACUCUGUGCAAGUGGUGGUUCCGAAGGCGAUACUCUCGACUUAAAUCAAACGAUCAGCUCUAGCCAGCUACCCGCCACACUCACACCACCAAGAUGGUUGUCACAUCACGCAUGCUCGCCGCCCACACUAAUGGCUACCCCGUCGACGCCAAGGCCCGCUUCUGGUCAACCUACUACAGGUCUCUGAAAGACAUCACCAAAGUGGAGACCCGUCCCCGUGCAUCUGAGAUGAUCCCAAGGCCUCCCGCCCACUCCCCAACGUACACCUACUCAGGGCCUGCGGUCUACCCAAAGAGCACCUACCCCCUCGUCCUUAACACGAUAUCCCCCUCCGUCCGUCCCUCCUACUACCUGUAGAGCGGACUGGACUACCAACGUCUUGAGGGAGGAGGAGGAACCAGCUGCCCACGGUGACACCUAUACUGUCCACCGUACAGCUACCCGCUCAACAACCUCACCUGCUGUGGAUCAUACACGUUUCUAUUUAUUUAUAUAAAGAUUUGGAAAUGAAUAUAUCAUCAUUAUUCCCGACACGAAUAGAUCUUUUAUGGUUGACUUAACUUAAGGAGCUGCUUACGAUGGAGAAAUACCCGAUGUAACAACUCAUUUGUUUGAGAGAUUAUUAUUUUUGUCCCUCUUUGUAACGACGGAAUAUAUUCCUAAAUUUUCACAGAAUGUAAGUUAUUACUUCCAUUCCUACAAUAAUCUAUUGCUCGUGUGUGUAUAUAUACUCCCUUGUGACAUCCCUUCACAACAGCACACAUCGCUCGACACCUCAGUGUAACCAGUCUAUGAAGUUUGUCAAUGAUGGUCAGUGUUGUCGCCUCACAACAUGACAGCAGCGUCUUGUUUAGCAUUUCUACCAUAGCUGCCUCACGCACGUGGAGUUUUAUCAAUUAUUUCUUGUUUAUAAAACCGUGAAGCAUGUGUGGUGUACAUCCCCUGCCACCGCCCUCAGGGACCUUCUGCUGUGGCCACGCCGCCGUCGGGUAAGGUCUCCUGGAACGGGAGGUUUCUUCAAGAAUAUGGUUCAAAAUCAUCAUCAUCUGCAUCACUGUCAUUGUCAUCGUAACUUUGUAAACACAGACGGCUCAUUCAUGCUUUGGUUCUGCUGCUUUUAAGGUUUGUCUCUGUGAUAUUAUCUUGUGUUUUUACUCUGCAUAAUUUUCUCGUGGCCUGACAGUAUUUGUCGGUGCGGAAGUGGAGUGAUGCCCUCGAGGAUGGCCGAAUCAUGUAUCUAUUUUUUUUUUUUUGUCAUUUGCUCGACUUCGUUCAAUUUUAAAUCCAUUUUUCUCAUGCUAAUUUAUACACCUGUAUUCACCAACAUUUGUCAUGCUCACUUGAUAUUUUGUCUGUGAACAUCAUUCGAAUGUAUAUUGGCAAAAGUACAUGAAAGAAAAUUA